RNAcentral lists this ribosomal RNA (505 nucleotides) under uncultured bacterium. Its description in RNAcentral is "partial 16S ribosomal RNA". It matches the Rfam family "Bacterial small subunit ribosomal RNA", at positions 28 to 507 of the family's 1533-position model. The record is from RNAcentral.
GACGAACGCUGGCGGCGUGCCUAAUACAUGCAAGUAGAACUCACAGUUUAUACCGUAGCUUGCUACACCAUAGACUGUGAGUUGCGAACGGGUGAGUAACGCGUAGGUAACCUGCCUGGUAGCGGGGGAUAACUAUUGGAAACGAUAGUUAAUACCGCAUAAUAUUGAUUAUUGCAUGAUAAUUGAUUGAAAGAUGCUAUUGCAUCACUACCAGAUGGACCUGCGUUGUAUUAGCUAGUAGGUGAGGUAACGGCUCACCUAGGCGACGAUACAUAGCCGACCUGAGAGGGUGAUCGGCCACACUGGGACUGAGACACGGCCCAGACUCCUACGGGAGGCAGCAGUAGGGAAUCUUCGGCAAUGGACGAAAGUCUGACCGAGCAACGCCGCGUGAGUGAAGAAGGUUUUCGGAUCGUAAAGCUCUGUUGUAAGAGAAGAACGGGUGUGAGAGUGGAAAGUUCACACUGUGACGGUAUCUUACCAGAAAGGGACGGCUAACUACGUG